AUUGAACGCUGGCGGCAGGCUUAACACAUGCAAGUCGAGCGGGGGAAGGUAGCUUGCUACCGGACCUAGCGGCGGACGGGCGAGUAAUGCUUAGGAAUCUGCCUAUUAGUGGGGGACAACAUCUCGAAAGGGAUGCUAAUACCGCAUACGUCCUACGGGAGAAAGCAGGGGAUCUUCGGACAUUGCGCUAAUAGAUGAGCCUAAGUCGGAUUAGCUUGUUGGUGGGGUAAAGGCCUACCAAGGCGAAGAUCUGUAGCGGGUCUGAGAGGAUGAUCCGCCACACUGGGACUGGGACACGGCCCAGACUCCAACGGGAGGCAGCAGUAGGGAAUAUUGGACAAUGGGGGGAACCCUGAUCCAGCCAUGCCGCGUGUGUGAAGAAGGCCUUAUGGUUGUAAAGCACUUUAAGCUAGGAGGAGGCUACUUUAGUUAAUACCUAGAGAUAGUGGACGUUACUCGCAGAAUAAGCACCGGCUAACUCUGUGCCAGCCGCCGCGGUAA
RNAcentral lists this ribosomal RNA (501 nucleotides) under uncultured bacterium. Its description in RNAcentral is "partial 16S ribosomal RNA". It matches the Rfam family "Bacterial small subunit ribosomal RNA", at positions 30 to 523 of the family's 1533-position model. The record is from RNAcentral.